UUAGAGUGCUUAAAGCAGGCCCAGCCGCCUGAAUAUUCGUGCAUGGAAUAAUGGAAUAGGACCUCGGUUCUAUUUUGUUGGUUUUCGGAACUCGAGGUAAUGAUUAAUAGGGACAGACGGGGGCAUUCGUAUUGCGACGUUAGAGGUGAAAUUCUUGGAUCGUCGCAAGACGAACUACUGCGAAAGCAUUUGCCAAGAAUGUUUUCAUUAAUCAAGAACGAAAGUUAGAGGUUCGAAGGCGAUCAGAUACCGCCUAGUUCUAACCAUAAACGAUGCUGACUAGCGAUCCGCCGGCGUUAUUCCCAUGACUCGCGGGCAGCUUCCGGGAACCAAAGUACUUGAGUUCCGGGGGAAGGUAUGGUUGCAAAGACUGAAACUUAAAGGAAUUGACGGAAGGGCACCACCAGGAGUGGAGCCUGCGGCUUAAUUUGACUCAACACGGGGAACCUCACCAGGCCCGGACACCGGAAGGAUUGACAGAUUGAGAGCUCUUUCUUGAUUCGGUGGGUGGUGGUGCAUGGCCGUUCUUAGUUGGUGGAGCGAUUUGUCUGGUUAAUUCCGAUAACGAACGAGACUCAGACCUGCUAACUAGUCGACGGAUCUCAUACCAUAUGUGUCCGUCGCUACCUUCU
This 632-nucleotide ribosomal RNA is filed under the name Squilla empusa. RNAcentral describes it as "SSU rRNA". It matches the Rfam family "Eukaryotic small subunit ribosomal RNA", at positions 766 to 1398 of the family's 1831-position model. Lineage: Eukaryota; Metazoa; Arthropoda; Malacostraca; Stomatopoda; Squillidae. The record is from RNAcentral.